GAUGAACGCUGGCGGCGUGCCUAAUACAUGCAAGUCGAGCGAACGGACGAGAAGCUUGCUUUUCUGAUGUUAGCGGCGGACGGGUGAGUAACACGUGGAUAACCUACCUAUAAGACUGGGAUAACUUCGGGAAACCGGAGCUAAUACCGGAUAAUAUUUUGAACCGCAUGGUUCAAAAGUGAAAGACGGUCUUGCUGUCACUUAUAGAUGGAUCCGCGCUGCAUUAGCUAGUCGGUAAGGUAACGGCUUACCAAGGCAACGAUGCAUAGCCGACCUGAGAGGGUGAUCGGCCACACUGGAGCUGAGACACGGUCCAGACUCCUACGGGAGGCAGCAGUAGGGAAUCUUCCGCAAUGGGCGAAAGCCUGACGGAGCAACGCCGCGUGAGUGAUGAAGGUCUUCGGAUCGUAAAACUCUGUUAUUAGGGAAGAACAUAUGUGUAAGUAACUGUGCACAUCUUGACGGUACCUAAUCAGAAAGCCACGGCUAACUACGUG
This 497-nucleotide ribosomal RNA is filed under the name uncultured bacterium. Its description in RNAcentral is "partial 16S ribosomal RNA". It matches the Rfam family "Bacterial small subunit ribosomal RNA", at positions 28 to 507 of the family's 1533-position model. The record is from RNAcentral.